This is an RNA transcript of Anastrepha ludens (Mexican fruit fly), 1914 nucleotides long. It is a transcript of the gene named N-alpha-acetyltransferase 20, with no coding region annotated. The record is from RefSeq and is a predicted model, not a curated record. NCBI's taxonomy places the organism in Eukaryota, Metazoa, Arthropoda, Insecta, Diptera, Tephritidae. The transcript has 7 exons.
GCGCUCUCUUUGUGUUACUGCAAAUCAGCUGUGUGCGACGUACAAUUAAUUUGCCAAAAUAGCUUUUCGUAGUUAAUUUUCCAUUUUAUAUUCAUAUAUUUAAAAGAUGACUACGCUGCGACCAUUCACUUGUGAUGACCUAUUCAAAUUCAAUAACGUCAAUUUUGACCCAUUGACUGAGACGUAUGGGCUUUCGUUUUACACACAGUAUUUGGCAAGAUGGCCAGAGUACUUUCAAGUGGCCGAAUCACCGAGUGGUCAAAUAAUGGGCUACAUUAUGGGUAAGGCAGAAGGCCACAUGGAAAAUUGGCAUGGUCAUGUUACCGCGUUGACCGUUUCUCCUGAUUAUAGACGUUUAGGUUUGGCAGCAUUGCUUAUGAAUUUCCUAGAGGAUAUUUCGGAGAAAAAACGUGCCUAUUUCGUUGAUCUAUUCGUACGCAAAAGCAAUAAGGUAGCCAUCAAUAUGUAUCAAAAUCUAGGCUAUAUAAUUUAUCGCACUAUACUUGAUUACUACGCUGGCGAACACGACGAAGAUGCCUAUGACAUGCGAAAGGCCUUAUCUAGAGACAUGGAAAAGAAAUCUAUUAUACCCUAUACACAUCCGGAAUGUAACUAAUUCUUAAGAAAAAACUAUUUCUACAUGUAAAGUUAGUACACCGAUAAAACCAAAAACAUGAGCUCCGCUGUUUUGUUUACUACUUCCCAGAGUAAAUAAUACACCACACCACAACAUAUUAAUCAAAUGAUGAGAUAACAACACAUCAACUACAUCUAGCGAAUGCAAAUCAAACACCCACGAUUAUGGACUAGCUUUACUUGUGGACUUGAUAUAUUCCAAAGAAGAAAUUUUAAUAUAUUCUUGCUAUAAAAAUGUUGGUCUACGGUAUAAUGUUUUGCAGGUCUCUAAGUUUAAAAACGGCACAUAUUCAUAGUCCAACUCCAUAUAAAUAAUAAAUUAUUUUGUACAUUUUACGCAAGUUGGCUAAAAAGUUCAACACACUUUAUGUUAGCGAAAAAAGCUAUACAGAGCAUGUGCUGCCAAAAAUUACCCAGUGGUAACAUUCUUAGGUGAGUUUCUUAACACUACCACCUACGCGCACAUUCCUUUUUUAUUUAAAAAUCAUUUUUGUAUCCUCGGGGGGGAAAAACCAACUUAUAUCAAUAAUUGGCAAUAAAAAAUAAAUUAAAAGAAGUUGAGCAAAACGAGUGCCUACGGAAUAGUAAAAGAUAAAGUAUAGUCUGAUGGAGCUGCGUGUCCAAUAGUGUUGGCGAAUUUGGUGCACAUUUUGUUAAUAUAUUUUGUCAACUAUUAUAAAAUUUAACGUUAAAAACAGUGGAGAGCUGUCGCAAGUGUUGGAAGUCGUAAAGGGAUCGUUUUGUAAUUGUAUUGAGCAUAAAAAAUAGAUCGAUUGGAAAUACAAAGGAGUGGUUAUUUUCCCUCACCACCAGUAUAAGUCCAAAAGGGUGAGAUAACUUGUCCUGUGCAUACUUUUUAAAGUUUUUCUGAAUGGUUGUUGAAUUUUCAACUCCAAACUUGCUCUCGCACCCGCACGCAACAAGUUCAGUAAAAACUGAAUUAUCCAGUUGAAAGCAAGAGCAAACAUAUGGCAGCUAUGAAUUUUUCUGCAACCAUGGAUCCCAUCGUCAUUUCAAGCUGGACACAAUAGAAAACACAAUUUGCACACUAAUAGAGAACUAUUAGAAACUUAUAAACUCCCAUAGGCAGUCCGCUGAUCCAUUUCUAGAUGUAAUACAAGAAUUCUUUGAGAAAGUACCACCACUCAAGCAGUUGGUAUACAAAAGGGAUUAGUGAACUAAGUAUACUUACAAAAUGUGUGUGGAAAUUGAUGUCUAAACAAUAAAAAUAUGUUAAAUUAUUUGGGCUCUCUCGAAUUUAAGAGAGAACGAAUCAAA